Molecule: long non-coding RNA, 882 nt
Organism: Mus musculus (house mouse)
Lineage: Eukaryota; Metazoa; Chordata; Mammalia; Rodentia; Muridae
Product: predicted gene, 39459
Exons: 3
Source: RefSeq, a predicted model, not a curated record
UCCCCACUCUCUGCUUCCUGUGCACGGAUAGAAUGUGAUGAGCCAACUUCCUGCUACUGCUGUGAUGCGUUCUGUGCCUAUUGUGCCUUCCUUUUGUAUCCUUUGCAACUGUAAGCCAACAUAAACCCUUUCUUACCCUUAAUUGCUUAAGAAGAGUUUAUCGCAGCAACAGAAAGGAACCGAAGACGUCAGCCCAUGGGAAGGUGUGGAACGGUGCCACCACUUUUAAGGUUUCUGGUCCAGCCUGUCUCCACAUACAGAUCCAGCUCGGCCAUUUCUCAGGAAAACAAUUUAAACUAGAAAAAGAAGACAGCAGCAGCCUGCACCCAGCGCUCUGCAGGGUGCCUAUGAAGAGGACGUGCCUGUCACUUGACAGGUUACAUACACUUCAACCUAUCCAUCUGUGAAACGGGAUCCGUGGUACUUCUUUUGUAAAGCCGGUAAUGAGGUGGCCGUUCCAACACUGUAAGCUACAUCCCAUGGAAGGUGACUCCAACCCUGGUAACCUGUCAGCCUGAGGCUCACAGUACUGCAGUAGCCCUGGAGGGGUGAGCACCUGUAAGAGAGUGGAGUCUGCCUGCAGCUAAGUAAAAAAUGUCAGCAAUGAGAACAAUUGAGUUUGUGACUGCAGCAGUAAUUCUCCCAGGCUUGGAGAAUGGGUCCCAGGGCCACACCUGUCAUAGAGCAUAAAGAAACAAUCAGUUAGCAACAAAGUAACCAAUCCCUUCCUUGCUAAGCGUUUCGGUCAUAAACAGGUUCAAUACUGGACAAUGAAUGUUGCAGCUGCCCAUAGUCCUGAGGCUCCUGGGGCCUGGGAGACUGAGCAAAGCAUUGAUGCAUACCGACUCCUCCUCAAGGAGUGAGGUCGUGCUUGGGGCACCA